Molecule: transfer RNA, 69 nt
Filed under: Pangshura tentoria
Lineage: Eukaryota; Metazoa; Chordata; Testudines; Geoemydidae
Description: tRNA-Val
Rfam family: tRNA
About the family: Transfer RNA (tRNA) molecules are approximately 80 nucleotides in length. Their secondary structure includes four short double-helical elements and three loops (D, anti-codon, and T loops).
Source: RNAcentral
CAAAACAUAGCUUAAUUAAAAGCAUUCAGCUUACACCUGAAAGAUGUCCAAAAAAUAGGACUAUUUUGA